This 1936-nucleotide long non-coding RNA is filed under the name Phaseolus vulgaris (common bean). RNAcentral's name for it is "long non-coding RNA (PVUL_LNC003706)". The record is from RNAcentral. Lineage: Eukaryota; Viridiplantae; Streptophyta; Magnoliopsida; Fabales; Fabaceae.
AAAUGAGUAAAAAAGACAACCCCACCCACGUUAUUCAUUCCCAAAAUAUAGAUAAACAUCAUUAUUUUCUUUUCUUAAAAAGUUGUUUUUGAUGAAACUAAUGAAACAAACAAGUGAACAUAUGUAUAAAAGAAACCAAGAGGGAAAAAGUUGUGAACUGAUAUUUCCAUUUUAAAGCAUCAGUGCCCUUUGUGAUUAAGGUAUUACUAUUAUAUGUGUUAUGCUUCGAUCAUAUUUUCCAUGUGUAGGUGAGUGAGAUUAUGGAACCUGAUGCUUGUGUUGAAAGAGGCUAAAAUUGAGUUGGGAUAUCAUUAUCAUUCUAGAGGGAACUGUCCUCAUAUGUAAUAAUUUGAUUUCGUAUCGCAACCUUUUAGUAUUUUGGUCGGUCAAAAAAGCACUAAAUAUAAUUUGAGCUUGUUCUAUGCUAACCUCGUGUCUAUUGUUGACGAUGCUCUUUACCACUUCAAUUAAGUUGGUUUUUUGUGAAAAAUGUACCAUGCCAAACACACCCUUUAGUUGUUGGAGGAUGAGAAUCACUGCUGUCCCUCCCAUGAAGCCAUUGAUGGUAGAAUGAGAGAAAAAGUCCACCAGUAUCCCCAGCCUGCAACAAGUUUUGCAAAAUAUAUAUGUAAUUCUUCAUUUGUAAGAAACAUAUUUAAUAGAUUUCAACUGAUAAAGAGAUGUGUUGGAAGCAUUUUCUGAUAUCAUUAAUUAAAAUGUUCCUUUGACAACUGCAAAGUAGAAAGUAAAGUAUAAUCUGGUGCAUAAUUAUCAAGGUAGUAACAGUGUAUCAUUAAAACUUGGUUAGAGAAAGACCCUUUACAUGUCCCCACAUGAGAAGAAAAUGUGUUAAUUACCUGAAAAUUCCCAAACAAGCCUGGAAAAUACCAGUGAUAAAGGUGGUAGUGAAAAUCAAAUGAAGAUACAAGGUUGGGUCUUCUUUUGGGUCUGCCACUGUUUGUAUGGUUUGACCAAUGAGCAAUGAUGCUGCUGCUAUCGUCCCCACUGCCAUGUGCCUUGAACUCCCAAAAAUAGCAUAGACUAGAGGUGGGACAAAGCUUGAAUCUGAUAAAAUCAUGCCAAAACGUCAAAUCAACACACACAACCUAUUACCUUAAAUUCUUCAUCUCUUCAUCCCAAACCCAACCUUAAAAAAUCGAAUCAACUAUCAGUUUCUUUAUAUCUCACACAACAGCAUUAAAACUGUCGAAGGGAGUUACUUACUCACGUAACUAACUCUCUACACACCCACAUAAUGAAUUCAACCAAACCAUACACAAAGUGAUGCCAAAAAUUUCUCCAUCUUGGUUUCUAAACCAUAGAUGGCCAUUCAGUUUUCUUUCGCUGAUAAAAUUCACACCAAUUCAAUCCAUGCACAACGAAAGAACGAUGUUAGAGAUCUCACGUUAACUUAAAAUUAAGACAUUUCAUAGUAUAUAAGUGGUGAAAAUUCCAUCUUAUAAACCGGUUUUAUAAGGUUGAGUUAGAUAAAGUUCAUGAAAUAAAUCUUGAUUCUAAUCAUAAACACUAUCAUGAGUAAAAUCAAUGGUUUUACUAUAGAGAGCAAUAUAACUAAAUGGUGCCAAACAAACACAGAUGAAAAGCAAAUAAUGACUGAAACACAUGGAAUGAAACAUCAAUCAAACAGAGUGAUUGUAGAAAUGAAUGGAUGAGGGAGAAAAGGAGAGAAAUAAGAGAAAGAAGAGUGAUUUCUUACAAAGGCCAAUGAGAGGAGGAAGGUCUGCAAGUUUGGCAUAGCUGAUGCCUUGAGGGAUGGCAAGGCUUGAGAUGGUUAAACCAGCAACCAAGUCAGAGCAAAAGAGACGCCAAUUGUAGGUUGGUAGCCACUCAAAGAUGGGAAUGAAGUAUUGCACCCCCUUCAGUAUCCUCCUCGUUGUCUUCUCCUCGUUCUUGAACUGCCUGAAGGGAUCAUCAG